Molecule: ribosomal RNA, 253 nt
Filed under: uncultured bacterium
Lineage: Bacteria
Description: partial 16S ribosomal RNA
Rfam family: Bacterial small subunit ribosomal RNA
Source: RNAcentral
UACGUAGGGACCGAGCGUUGUCCGGAAUCAUUGGGCGUAAAGAGCGUGUAGGCGGCCACUUGAGUCCUGCGUGAAAUCUUGCGGCUCAACCGCAAGCGGUCGUGGGAAACUGGGUGGCUAGAGUGCGGGAGAGGAGAGUGGAAUUCCUGGUGUAGCGGUGGAAUGCGCAGAUAUCAGGAAGAACACCCGUGGCGAAGGCGGCUCUCUGGAACGCAACUGACGCUGAGACGCGAAAGCGUGGGGAGCAAACAGG